Molecule: ribosomal RNA, 1866 nt
Filed under: Triticum aestivum (bread wheat)
Lineage: Eukaryota; Viridiplantae; Streptophyta; Magnoliopsida; Poales; Poaceae
Description: partial small subunit ribosomal RNA
Source: RNAcentral
AUGUUCACUGGCCCAAUUCCAAGGAGUCUAAAGACAUGUGUGAGUUUGGUUAAAAUUUCCCUUGGGAAUAACCAACUAACAGGAGAUAUAUCUCAGCAUUUUGGUGCGUAUCCACAACUCAAAUGGAUGAGCUUGUCAUCUAAUAGACUCUCUGGGAAGAUCUCACCCAACCUAGGUGCAUGUACCCAACUUACGGCACUAAAUCUAGCACAAAAUAUGAUCACGGGUUCCAUACCUCCAACACUUUCUAAAUUGUCCAACUUAUCAGAACUAAAACUCGAUUCUAAUCAUCUCAGUGGUGAGAUUCCACCAGAAGUCUGUAGUUUAACAAAGCUAUCUAGGCUGAACUUGUCAUCAAACAAAUUAUCAGGAUCCAUACCUACACAGAUAGAAAAGCUCAGCAAUCUAGAAUUGCUUGAUAUAUCUUGGAACAGACUGAGUGGAUUAAUACCUGAGGAAUUAGGGGCCUGCAUGAAACUACAUUCCUUGAAGAUCAACAACAACAACUUCAAUGGGAGUUUGCCUGGCGUGGUCGGAAAUUUAGCAAGCCUGCAGAUUAUGUUAGAUGUGAGCAACAAUAAACUCAGUGGUGUGUUGCCGCAGCAACUUGGGAAGUUGGGGAUGCUAGAAUUUCUGAAUUUGUCACAUAAUAAGUUCAAUGGCGGCAUUCCAUCCUCCUUUGCAAGCAUGGGGAGCCUUUCAAUACUCGAUGUGUCCUACAAUGACUUGAAAGGACCAGUCCCAACAACACGGCCAUUUCAAAAUGCUUCAGCUAGUUGGUUUAUUCCCAAUAAAGGUUUAUGUGGUAACAUCUCUGGCCUGCCACCUUGUUAUUCAAUUCCAGUAGCUAGUCACCAUGAACAAAAGAUACUUGGUUUGCUUUUGUCAGUUGUUCUUGUGGUGGGUUUCAGCAUUGUUGCUGCAAUUGUUGUCAUAAUAAUGAUCAGUCGUAACAAUAGAAAACCACAAGGUGUCACUACUGAAGCAAGGGACCUAUUCUCCGUUUGGAAUUUUGAUGGAAGAUUAGCAUUUGAUGAUAUUGUAAGGGUAACCGAAGAUUUCAAUGAUAACUACAUCAUUGGAACUGGUGGAUACGGCAAGGUCUACAAGACACAACUCCAAGAUGGGCAGCUAGUUGCUGUGAAGAAGCUUCAUCAGACCGAAGAGCAGUUGGACGAUGAAAGAAGAUUUCGCAGUGAAAUGGAAAUUUUAUCACAGAUCCGACAACGAAGCAUUGUCAAAAUGUAUGGAUUCUGCUCCCAUCCAGCGUAUAAAUUUCUCGUCUAUGACUACAUUCAGCAGGGAAGCCUCCACAGGACAUUGGAAAAUGUGGAGCUAGCCAAGGAAUUAGAUUGGCAGAAGAGGAUUGCUCUUGCAACUGAUGUGUCUCAAGCAAUAUCUUAUUUGCACCACGAAUGCAGUCCACCUAUAAUCCAUCGAGAUAUAACGAGCAACAACAUCUUACUUGAUACGACCUUGAAGGCUUUCAUCUCAGAUUUCGGCACGGCAAGAAUUCUUAAGCCCAAUUCAUCGAACUGGAGUGCACUAGCAGGGACGUAUGGCUACAUAGCUCCUGAACUAUCAUACACAUCUGUUGUGACAGAGAAAUGUGACGUCUAUAGCUUUGGCGUGGUUGUGCUAGAGCUAAUGAUGGGGAAGCAUCCAAGGGAUCUAUUAGACGGUAGUUUGCCAAGGGAGGAACAAGCUAUACUAGUGAAAAAUAUUCUGGACCGACGGCCAAUAACACCAACAACAACAGAAGAGAAUAGCUUAGCUCUGCUCAUCAAGCUGGCCUUCUCUUGCUUGGAAUCUUCUCCACAAGCAAGGCCAAUCAUGCGCGAGGCAUACCAAACACUCAUUCAGUAG